Oryza brachyantha (malo sina) is the source of this 1734-nucleotide long non-coding RNA. RefSeq lists it as uncharacterized. The record is from RefSeq and is a predicted model, not a curated record. Lineage: Eukaryota; Viridiplantae; Streptophyta; Magnoliopsida; Poales; Poaceae. The transcript is spliced from 3 exons.
CUCUCUAUCCCCUCAAACCACAAAACUUUUCCCUAUUUGAUCUCCCUGGGUCAACAACGAAAUCUUGAUCGGUGUGACCAUAACUUGUUCCUCUUCUCUCCCUAUGUCUAUUCCAUGGCUUGGAUUUGUUUCUCGUAUUACUUCUAAGCCAUGGUUUGGGCCUCUAGGUGGAUGGAGCGUAGUUCUUCGGUUUGCACCAUUAGAGGGUAGAUUGUUGGUGCCAAUCACGUCUAUUUGACAUGGGAUUAGCCUUCUCGACGAGGUCAACCGGGUUUCGACAUGGUUAAUACACCAGAGGAGACAUGGUGCUAUGAUUGCGGGGCUCAAGAUCAUGUUCAUUCAGAAGCCAGAUCGAGUUGUGUCGUGACUCUACCAAAUCAAUUAUUUAUUAGAGCCUUUUGGAAUAUCGAGAACCUACCCACAUCAGGAAUAAGUUAUAUGUCAAGUCCAGCUGUUACCCACACUAGCUUGCGGAUAGAGUCAUGGGCUACACCCAAUGGGUGCACCCAGAGACCUUCAUAUUUAAUGAAGAAAUUGCACUUGGGAGAUGUCCAAGAUGUUGUGUGAAGAUACUCUCGGUGAUUGAGAAUCUACAAGAGGACCCUGGGUGCUAUUGUGGGAUACUCGGAUAAGGGGUAUAGACAUGUAUUGUACGUAUUCAUAUAGGGAAAGUGGUUCUAAGAUGUGAAAGAGGUAAAGAUAGCAACCGUACUAUAUUGGACUGUGUAUAUCACAAUGCUAAGUUUUCAAUGUCCGGGUAUCCAUAACCAAUGGGGCAUAGUUGGUUUAGAUAUGGUAGAUCUUUAGUUGUAUUUAGUUUACGCAUGUAUCUAUUGUAACACUAUCUCACGAUAUAUAAGGGUAGCUAGGGAUGUUCCUUGAGGACCACAGUCUAAUAGAUUAUGCUCUGGAUUCAUCACACACAAGUUAUAUAGUUUUAGACAAUGAAUCUACAAAUAAGAGUAAGGUAUUAUCUCACCUUUCAGAGUCUGAACCUAGGUAACCCCUUUACUUACAUACCAUUGAUCUUUUCUUCUCAACUACAACCACAUCUAUUUACUGCUGAUACACAACAUUGAUUGUAUUGUAUUUAUUUGGUUUUUAUUUGAGAUACUAUUGAAUUGGAUAUUUCAUGUUGCUUGCCUAUUAUCUCUCAUAGUGUAAUUAACCGGGUGCCCACAGCUAACCCAUUCAUUUGAUGAAAAAAACUACUUUGCAUGUGGAAGGGCAUAAUAUCCUUUAUGGUACAUGUGUUUGAUUGCGUUCACUUUGCAUGCCUAAGCUAACAAGUAAGUGAAAUAUACCUACAUCACAAAUGACAUGUCAUAUCUCUAUCCUCACCUUCCAUACAAAGAUCUCAACCUUGGUAGUAUGGAAGCAGAUUUGGUUGCUUUAAAGCACAUUUCCAUUUUGUCAUAUUUCCUUUUCCGACUUAUCCAAAAAAAAUCAAACGAACAAACCACGUAUACCUGCUUUUCUAUACUUAUCCAAUUUAAUCAAACAAAGGAGACACGUAAAUUUGGACAAAUGGCAUAUGCCCUAUUGAUUGCGUGUAACAAUCAUUUCACUUUAGCCUUGGAUGUAGUCUUCAAAUCCCUAUAAAUAGUUGAGUUUUGUUGGUCAUAGAACACACAUCAUUCCACAAUUAUUAGAAACAUACCAAAGAUGUCCCGUUGGGGCCAUAGAUUAGCUUGGGACAAGCACCAUAGAGUUCCAUCUCUAAUUCCAGAGGAU